UUGAAGAGUUUGAUCAUGGCUCAGAUUGAACGCUGGCGGCAGGCCUAACACAUGCAAGUCGAGCGGUAGCACAGAGAGCUUGCUCUCGGGUGACGAGCGGCGGACGGGUGAGUAAUGUCUGGGAAACUGCCUGAUGGAGGGGGAUAACUACUGGAAACGGUAGCUAAUACCGCAUAAUGUCGCAAGACCAAAGUGGGGGACCUUCGGGCCUCAUGCCAUCAGAUGUGCCCAGAUGGGAUUAGCUAGUAGGUGGGGUAACGGCUCACCUAGGCGACGAUCCCUAGCUGGUCUGAGAGGAUGACCAGCCACACUGGAACUGAGACACGGUCCAGACUCCUACGGGAGGCAGCAGUGGGGAAUAUUGCACAAUGGGCGCAAGCCUGAUGCAGCCAUGCCGCGUGUGUGAAGAAGGCCUUCGGGUUGUAAAGCACUUUCAGCGGGGAGGAAGGCGAUAAGGUUAAUAACCUUGUCGAUUGACGUUACCCGCAGAAGAAGCACCGGCUAACUCCGUGCCAGCAGCCGCGGUAAUACGGAGGGUGCAAGCGUUAAUCGGAAUUACUGGGCGUAAAGCGCACGCAGGCGGUCUGUCAAGUCGGAUGUGAAAUCCCCGGGCUCAACCUGGGAACUGCAUUCGAAACUGGCAGGCUAGAGUCUUGUAGAGGGGGGUAGAAUUCCAGGUGUAGCGGUGAAAUGCGUAGAGAUCUGGAGGAAUACCGGUGGCGAAGGCGGCCCCCUGGACAAAGACUGACGCUCAGGUGCGAAAGCGUGGGGAGCAAACAGGAUUAGAUACCCUGGUAGUCCACGCCGUAAACGAUGUCGAUUUGGAGGUUGUGCCCUUGAGGCGUGGCUUCCGGAGCUAACGCGUUAAAUCGACCGCCCGGGAGUACGGCCGCAAGGUUAAAACUCAAAUGAAUUGACGGGGGCCCGCACAAGCGGUGGAGCAUGUGGUUUAAUUCGAUGCAACGCGAAGAACCUUACCUGGUCUUGACAUCCACAGAACUUUCCAGAGAUGGAUUGGUGCCUUCGGGAACUGUGAGACAGGUGCUGCAUGGCUGUCGUCAGCUCGUGUUGUGAAAUGUUGGGUUAAGUCCCGCAACGAGCGCAACCCUUAUCCUUUGUUGCCAGCGGUUAGGCCGGGAACUCAAAGGAGACUGCCAGUGAUAAACUGGAGGAAGGUGGGGAUGACGUCAAGUCAUCAUGGCCCUUACGACCAGGGCUACACACGUGCUACAAUGGCAUAUACAAAGAGAAGCGACCUCGCGAGAGCAAGCGGACCUCAUAAAGUAUGUCGUAGUCCGGAUUGGAGUCUGCAACUCGACUCCAUGAAGUCGGAAUCGCUAGUAAUCGUAGAUCAGAAUGCUACGGUGAAUACGUUCCCGGGCCUUGUACACACCGCCCGUCACACCAUGGGAGUGGGUUGCAAAAGAAGUAGGUAGCUUAACCUUCGGGAGGGCGCUUACCACUUUGUGAUUCAUGACUGGGGUGAAGUCGUAACAAGGUAACCGUAGGGGAACCUGCGGUUGGAUCACCUCCUU
RNAcentral lists this ribosomal RNA (1535 nucleotides) under Klebsiella pneumoniae. Its description in RNAcentral is "bacterial SSU rRNA". It matches the Rfam family "Bacterial small subunit ribosomal RNA". Lineage: Bacteria; Pseudomonadati; Pseudomonadota; Gammaproteobacteria; Enterobacterales; Enterobacteriaceae. The record is from RNAcentral.